RNAcentral lists this ribosomal RNA (468 nucleotides) under uncultured bacterium. RNAcentral's name for it is "partial 16S ribosomal RNA". It matches the Rfam family "Bacterial small subunit ribosomal RNA", at positions 28 to 507 of the family's 1533-position model. The record is from RNAcentral.
GACGAACGCUGGCGGCGUGCUUAACACAUGCAAGUCGAACGGAAAGGCCCUGCUUUUGUGGGGUUCUCGAGUGGCGAACGGGUGAGUAACACGUGAGUAACCUGCCCUUGACUUUGGGAUAACUUCAGGAAACUGGGGCUAAUACCGUAUAGGAGCUCCUGCUGCAUGGUGGGGGUUGGAAAGUUUCGGCGGUUGGGGAUGGACUCGCGGCUUAUCAGCUUGUUGGUGGGGUAGUGGCUUACCAAGGCUUUGACGGGUAGCCGGCCUGAGAGGGUGACCGGCCACAUUGGGACUGAGAUACGGACCAGAGUCCUACGGGAGGCAGCAGUGGGGAAUAUUGCACAAUGGGCGGAAGCCUGAUGCAGCAACGCCGCGUGCGGGAUGACGGCCUUCGGGUUGUAAACCGCUUUAGCCUGUGACGAAGCGUGAGUGACGGUAAUGGGUAAAGAAGCACCGGCUAACUACGUG